AACGAACGCUGGCGGCAGGCCUAACACAUGCAAGUCGAGCGAGGACUUCGGGCCUGGCGGCGGACGGGGGAGUAACGGGGGGGAACGUGCCCUGGUCAUCGGAAUAGCACUGGGAAAUUGGGAGGGAUACCGGAGGAGCAUUCCGGGGGGAAGACAUAUCGGCGAAGGUUCGGCCCGCGUUGGAUUAGGGUGUUGUUGGGGUGAUGCCUAACCAAGCCGACGAGCCAUAGUGGGUUUGAGAGGAUGAUCAGCCACACUGGGACUGAGACACGGCCCAGACGCCUACGGGAGGCAGCAGUGGGGAAUCUUAGACAAUGGGGGAGACCCUGAUCUAGCCAUGCCGCGUGAGCGAUGAAGGCCUUAGGGUUGUAAAGCUCUUUCAGCGGGGAAGAUAGUGACGGUACCAGCAGAAGAAGCCCCGGCUAACUCCGUG
This 433-nucleotide ribosomal RNA is filed under the name uncultured bacterium. RNAcentral describes it as "partial 16S ribosomal RNA". It matches the Rfam family "Bacterial small subunit ribosomal RNA", at positions 29 to 507 of the family's 1533-position model. The record is from RNAcentral.